RNAcentral lists this ribosomal RNA (254 nucleotides) under uncultured bacterium. RNAcentral's name for it is "partial 16S ribosomal RNA". It matches the Rfam family "Bacterial small subunit ribosomal RNA", at positions 524 to 776 of the family's 1533-position model. The record is from RNAcentral.
UACGUAGGGGGCAAGCGUUGUCCGGAAUCACUGGGCUUAAAGCGCGUGUAGGCGGGCCGGCACGUCCGAGGCUGAAAUCCCCCGGCUCAACCGGGGAAGGGGCGCGGAUACGACCGGCCUGGAGGGGGGUAGGGGGGCCUGGAACUUCCGGUGGAGCGGUGAAAUGCGUUGAGAUCGGAAGGAACGCCCGUGGCGAAAGCGAGGCCCUGGACCCUUUCUGACGCUGAGACGCGAAAGCCAGGGGAGCGAACGGG